This 72-nucleotide transfer RNA is filed under the name Craterostigma plantagineum. Its description in RNAcentral is "partial tRNA-Leu". Lineage: Eukaryota; Viridiplantae; Streptophyta; Magnoliopsida; Lamiales; Linderniaceae. The record is from RNAcentral.
AAAAUCCGUCGACUUUAAAAAUCGUGAGGGUUCAAGUCCCUCUAUCCCCAAAAAAGCCUAUCUGACUCACAA